UGACUGAUCAAGUUUGUCUCCGCUUCAAUGAUACUCAUCGGAUUCGUUCCACAGACGUGGGGCCGCCUCUCCUGUCAGUAUGUGCCCUACCGGACAGUAGGCCAGGCCGUGUGGACCUGGCCAAAGUCUUAGUCUUCUUGGACGACUUCAGGUCUCCUCCUAUAGCAAGUCUCCUUGGUCCUUGCUUAGUUGCUUGCAUCUCUUAAGCUCCAAGCAAGUCCAGAUCUCCUCUCACCAGCGCACUCCAUUGCGAUUGUUGCAGCUCCAACCAAGCAUAAGCAGAUCAAACACCACACCACACCACUCGGUCUCUGCUGCUGCUCUUGGAUGGACUAGCUCACGAAAGGCGUCUGGCUGCCCGGAUCCUGUCAAGGGUUCAGCUCAGGCCUGGAAUUUCUGCAGGGUUCAGCUCAGGCCUUUUGGACUCUUUCCUUUAUGUGUCAGGGGUUGUAGCAGAGUUACAAGCUCCAAUCACCAGCAGGUGCAGAUUACCUUCUCUGAAUCCUCACUCACAAAUUUUUGCAUCUCCAGAACAUUCUCUUUGCUUGGUGAUACGAUGACUAGCCAUGCCUGGCAAUUUUAGCAACGAGAAUUUUCUUUUAGAGAAAUGAAAAUCCAAGUAUUUCGCAGAAUUUCCCCCUUUACAAGGUUGAAAUAGAAGCCCCUCUGCUUAGAGACAGUUGAAGAUUUAGACCUGACUACAAAAACACAGACAUAAAAAAUAGUCAUCAGCCCACAUUCCUAAAAUUUCACAGAACGUCCAAACUGAUAGCUUAUGUAUUAUGAAAGCAAGCAUAUCUACAAAGCAUAGUUCGGCAGAAGCAUUAUCGGGCAUUUGGGUGCCAAAAAUACCUGAAGUUCUGAACUCCAAACUUGUGUCCAGCAGGGAUCAACUGGUCAAGUCAUUAGACAAAUCUACCAUGAAUAUAUCACAAACUGUUUGGAAGGCUUAGGAGUAUCACAAAUCACUACAACCUGUUUGGAAGCAUUAGAAAUUAUAGCCUCUUAAAAACAAAGCAUGCAAUUGCCAUCCCACAAGUACCAACUCCUUUAGUUUGAUAUAUGAUGAAUUUGGAAAGUAAUACAACAUCCAAAGUAAUGAAUCUAUUCAUGUAUGCUGGCAUGACUAGAGGGUUUAUUACUCCCUCCGUUCUCUUUUGAUAGUCCUAAUUCAUCUUAGAACAAUGACCAAAAAGUACCUUGCUUAUCAUCUCAUUAAUUAUGACUCCUCGUUUUUUAUGUUAUCAUAUACAUGCACCAAUCUUUUCUAUAGAAAAGUUACUCUGCAUGGGAAUUGAAGGCCAUCCAUACUUCCCAAGAUGUCAACCCAAAUAGGACUAUCAAAAGAGAAUAAUUUAAUUUUGGAAAUAGGACAAUCAAAAGAGAAUGGAGGGAGUAUUUAGCAAGCAUACCAUGAUUCAGAACAGCAGAGCCCCAUAGCUUCUUGCAUUGUAUAAAGAUUUACACUGUCACCUUGCACAACACAUAUCCAUAUUCCAACUUCGCCUGACAAGUUGCAUACUCCCUCCGUCCUAAAAUACAAGUCAUUCUAGAUUUGUCCUAAGUCAAACUUUCUUAGGUUUGACCAAAUUUAUGGUGAAAAGUAUCAACAUUUAUGACAUUAAAUAGGUAUAUUUUGAAAAUACACUUCAUGGUGAAUUUAAUGAUACUUAUUUGAUAUCAUAAAUAUUGUCGUGGAGUGGAAACCCACAGCCGAGUGGCGUAAUGCACCCGCCUAAGCCCAGAGGGUGAGUACUCGGGGGUUAGCUAGGACUAGUUCUAUCUCGCUGGAAGAACACGAUGAACACAGCAGGUUUAGAGUGGUUCGGGCCGCCGGAGCGUAAUACCCUACGUCCACUGUGUGUUGUAUUGCUUGUGUUCCCUUCGUCUCAAGAGAGUCUGAGAGAACUUGGUGUGUGCAGCGAGCGCCUCCCUCUUAUAUCUCAAGGGAGGCGCGUACAUGGCCGUUGGGUCCCCGACAGGUGGGCCCAAUCGAUGUAGUAUAAAAUAACGUACUGUUCAUACAUUAUGGCGUUGCAGGCGAAGGAGAUCUCAUUCCCGGAUUUCCUUACUCUGCCCGCGGGAA
Molecule: long non-coding RNA, 2086 nt
Organism: Panicum virgatum (switchgrass)
Lineage: Eukaryota; Viridiplantae; Streptophyta; Magnoliopsida; Poales; Poaceae
Exons: 2
Source: RefSeq, a predicted model, not a curated record